GACGAACGCUGGCGGCGUGCUUAACACAUGCAAGUCGAACGGAAAGGCCCUGCUUUUGUGGGGUGCUCGAGUGGCGAACGGGUGAGUAACACGUGAGUAACCUGCCCUUGACUUUGGGAUAACUUCAGGAGACUGGGGCUAAUACCGGAUAGGAGCUCCUGCUGCAUGGUGUGGGUUGGAAAGUUUCGGCGGUUGGGGAUGGACUCGCGGCUUAUCAGCUUGUUGGUGGGGUAGUGGCUUACCAAGGCUUUGACGGGUAGCCGGCCUGGGAGGGGUGCCGGCCACAUUGGGACUGAGAUACGGCCCAGACUCCUACGGGAGGCAGCAGUGGGGAGUAUUGCACAAUGGGCGGAAGCCUGAUGCAGCAACGCCGCGUGCGGGAUGACGGCCUUCGGGGUGUAAACCGCUUUCGCCUGUGACGAAGCGUGAGUGACGGUAAUGGGUAAAGAAGCACCGGCUAACUACGUG
Molecule: ribosomal RNA, 468 nt
Filed under: uncultured bacterium
Lineage: Bacteria
Description: partial 16S ribosomal RNA
Rfam family: Bacterial small subunit ribosomal RNA
Source: RNAcentral